RNAcentral lists this unclassified non-coding RNA (479 nucleotides) under Hevea brasiliensis (rubber tree). Lineage: Eukaryota; Viridiplantae; Streptophyta; Magnoliopsida; Malpighiales; Euphorbiaceae. The record is from RNAcentral.
GAUGCUUGUUGAGCAAACUUUUCACGCUGCUUCAGAUUGAUUUCAUGUUCUCUGAUGUAAGAGGAUACGCAACAAGAAAAACAUCAUAGGGAAAACUUGGCAACAGUUCUGUCAUGUGUGCAAUAUCUACUAUAUAAAAAGAACGCAAGUUGCAAUUUAUGAUGAAUGGUAAAAUUGAAUUUCUUUCCCCCUUUACUUCUCUGUAGCAAACACUUACAUCAAAUAUUAUAAGUUUACCAUUGCCUUUUACAGCUUUGAUUUUGUACCUUCUUUAAAACCCUCAUUUAUUUAACAAUAUUAUGGAUUUACAAUUACAUAUUAUUACAAGUUUGCAGUUAACCUUUUAGCCUUUUAACUUCUUCUAAUGCUCUUACAACAUUUCAUAUUUUCCAUUACGUAAUAUUAGAAAAGUUAGUCAAUAUCUUUCAUUUUAAGAAAUAUUCAGACAGACCAUAAGUUUUUCAGCAAGACUCCAUUUG